GGUGGUAGUUGGGGAAGAUGGCAAUGUUUGUUUGAUGCGGUCUGGAUUAACAGUGGUCUGAGGUUGUAGGAUGCUGACAGGCUCUGUCUUGGCCACAUUUUGAGGCAUUUCUCGAAUCUUCUCUGCAAUGAAGCCAUGAACUGCAUUUAGUGCUUCAACUGUUCCCUGGAUCAGACACACGCGCUCCGUAGUACCUGGGUAAAAAUCUUUGGAUUUAGACAGCUUGAUGGUGGCCCCGGUCUCUUUCUGCAACUGAACAAUUG
RNAcentral lists this long non-coding RNA (263 nucleotides) under Gallus gallus (chicken). The record is from RNAcentral. Lineage: Eukaryota; Metazoa; Chordata; Aves; Galliformes; Phasianidae.